Myotis brandtii (Brandt's bat) is the source of this 2765-nucleotide long non-coding RNA. RefSeq lists it as uncharacterized. The record is from RefSeq and is a predicted model, not a curated record. The transcript has 6 exons. Lineage: Eukaryota; Metazoa; Chordata; Mammalia; Chiroptera; Vespertilionidae.
CUCUCUUUCUCUCUUCUUUCCUCUCUAAAAUCAAUAAACAUAUCCUCAGGUGACAAUUUUAAAAAAGCACAUGCAAACUGCUUAGCACAGCCCCUGGUGUUUAGUUAAGUGUAUAACGAAUAUUAAGCUUCUUUCCACUGCCUCGCCCAGCCCCUGCCCCAGUAGAGUGUAGUGGUGCUUAAAAAUGUAUGCCUUUCAUUUCUAAGUUACUCUGGUCUCUCCUUUAUGGCCUAUCCCCCAAUUCUUAAACAAAGCAAGUGAUUUCUUCCCUUAAUAAAAACUUUCACUGCCUUUUCUUCCAUAGCAUUCAGUAGAAGGUCCCAAUUACUGAGGGUUUGGCUUUUUAAGUCUCUGUGUGUUUUCCUAGCUUCAUCUUUUGUCACUUUCCCCCUCACACUGGUUACCCUAGCCAAGCUUAACUAUUUACACAAGUUGUUCUUUGAGCCUGGAACAGAGACAUUAUAACAAUUUUGAUGCCCACAGGAAGUAAACGGUAGGAAUUGUUCUUAAGGGAAUAGAAUGAAACUGCUAAAAGUGCAAAACACUCCACCUCCACCUCAGUCCAAUUUCCUGUACCGUGUCUUGGGUCUCCCACGCCAUUCAUUUUUUGUGCCCUUUGGAUUUUAGUGUCCUGAGACAAAGCUUAAACUUCCCCAUCUUACUUUUGAUCCUAGCCUGGACUACCUUUCACCCCUCUUAAUCAGAUUAACUCUCACCCUCUAGACUGGGUUAUGGUCUCCUCUUCAGAGCUCCCAUGGCACCCUGAGCAUCCUUAUGGCCUCGGUGAUAAUCAUAUUAGAUAGCAAUGUUUUUCAGAGUGUGGGCCUUAUAUCAUUUGUUAGAAUCACUUUUGGUGUUUGAUAAAAUAAUUGAUUCAUAGAUCCCAGCCCUGAUCUACUUAAUUAGAAUAUCUGGACACAUGGGUGGAAUUUUACAUUUUUAACAAGCUUUCCAGGUAAUUCUGAUGCACACACAAAUUUAAUGUAUAACAAUCAACUUCUGUAUUAGACUAUGAAUACCUUGAGGGCAGGGUCUAUGUCUUUUGUUUUUGUUGUAUUUUUCACACCUGAGAUAGUGUGUGGAACAGAGUAGUUGCCUAAUGUUUAUUGAACAAACGAACAAAUGAAUGAAUGAAUGAAUGAAUGAUCAACGUUGUACUCUGAUAUCCAUAUUGGUGUUUGUUGUUUCCUGGGCGGAAACGCUUGGGCUUUUCCAUCUGGGCUAUACUGAUAAUAUUUUGCAGAUGUCCCACGACUUAUAUGCAUAAAUGAGUACUAGUAUUGUCCUCCUCAAAAGCUCUUUGGAAGUUGGCUUGGGGAAUUGUCUGGAGCAUGUGACACCAUUCUUUUCAAUCACUUUUCAAUAUUUUUCAAAUUUGUUCUUUGAAAGUAGAUUUAAAUUUUGGUUACAACCAAAAAUCAGAGCUAAGCCUACUGAAUAAAGUAGGAAAUGAAAUCGGGCUUGGGAUAAGCAAUUAAAUUGCUGAGCCAAAUAAUGAAAUGAUCAUUGCUUUCCAAGAGACAACAUGGUGACAAAGUACUCAGUGGGGGUGUGGUGAGUCCCAGAUACUUACUUCAGUAAACUUAAGACUUUCAUAGGAUACUGGUAAUGCCAGGGACCUUAAAAGACAUCAUUGACCACCUUUAGCUGAACCCAGUUGAACAAAGGAAAUAGGACCUGUUUAACAUCAAGGAAGGUAACUCCGUAAGUUUUCGUUGCUCUUGUUCUACUCAGUUUAUUCCCCCACAAUCCUUUCUGCUAGCAAAUUGUUCUAUCUGUCUGCAAUUUAUGCUUAUUUCCACUUUUGUACUGUCUUAUUGAAGAAAGCACAAAAAUAAUAAAAUAUAAAGUUAAACCUGUUUCGAGUAUAUAAAAGAAAUUUUAAUGCCACAUUGGAGUUCUGGCUACUUGUAAGUAAGAGUAACUGCAUCUGUUUUUAUCAUGUAUUUCCAUUGUGUAACUUUGGAUGCAGUGACAUUCAGAUUGCAGCAAAAUCAUUUACAUAUUCUUUUCAGCUGAAAUACACUAGGUGAAUUUUCUAAGCUUCCAUGGUUUACAUAUUUAUACAUGGACUACCUGGAUGGAAUAAUCCAUGGAUGGACUUUUUGAUAAGCUCCAAUAUUUGAUAUUCUUUCCUCGACAGAAUGGAGAAUGUGAUGCUGACAGACAAGAACCACUCCCACAAUUGUUUCAAUUCCUAAAGCCAAUUGCAGCUUUGGAUCCAUUGGGCUGUAUUUGGCUGUGUAUUAUAGGUUGACUGUCAUCAGGUCAGGCAUACCUAGCUGUGCUGUCCUCAGACAAAGCCCACUAAGUCCAUCCUAUAAAAUCACACGCCUGAAUGUUCAUGAUAUGCUAGGAUGAACAGUCAAAAGAAAAGAAGAUAUGGAAUCUGCUUGUACCUGGAGAUUAUUAUCUGAACAUGAAGGUCCUUCCAACUGCACAGUUUGCCAGUGUCUCAGCUAUACUUGCUCUUCCAAACACUAUGCAAUCUAUACUGCAAAACCAAAGACCUGAAAUGCUGGCCAAAGGAAGUGUACACGGACCACGCCCGCGGACCACACCCGCUGACUCUGCACUGUGCCCCCCUCCUCACCAUGCCCAAAGAGAUUGUGGACCUGUCACCUAACUGGAGAGUGUUGUCAGGAUUUGUGUAAUGCACUCUACACCAAUGAACAACUGAGAGAACUUGACCUCAGUGACAAUGCCUUAGGGGGGUAAGGCAUGAAGGUGCUGUGUCAAGGGUUGAAACAUCCUUCCUAUAAACU